Molecule: long non-coding RNA, 501 nt
Filed under: Homo sapiens (human)
Lineage: Eukaryota; Metazoa; Chordata; Mammalia; Primates; Hominidae
Description: HSALNT0344366
Source: RNAcentral
UCAGUCACCCCCCCCCAACCACAAACAAGAGCCAGAUGGCCACAAGGCCAUGUAAGCAGCUUGUCUUCCAAAAGCCACCUUGUGUCUGCAGGACGCGGAGCACCCGGCAGCCCGGGCUGGUCCUCCUCGCCGGCACUCCUCGGCUUUGCCUGAUGAACACCAACACGGUUUUAAGCUUCCAUCCAGCAUUUGCAGCUUACUCGUGAGAUGCCAAACUGAUGUUCACUGAUCAGGCUCAGAUUACCCAACAGAGAUGGGAGAUUGGUGCCGGCCCUGCACAGCAUGCCUCGAAGGAAGCCCUGUGGCGAGAGAUGAACCUAGCUCAACUUCCAUUCUGCUGCUGGCGCCUGCCCCGGUAACCCGCAUGUUACACGCAGCUGCAGCCCUUCCUCCUGGCUGGAAUGGCAUCCACUGGGGUGGCCUUGGAAGCCGCGGGGUCAAGACGGCAGAGGCUCUGUCCACUGAGCUCUGUCCACUACCUGCCAGCGGGGACGCUCACCU